GACGAACGCUGGCGGCGUGCUUAACACAUGCAAGUCGAACGGAAAGGCCUGCUUUCCCUUGUGGAUUGCGGGUGCUCGAGUGGCGAACGGGUGAGUAACACGUGAGUGAUCUGCCCCCAACUUGGGUAUAAGCCUGGGAAACUGGUUCUAAUUCCCGAUAGGACUGCAGGGUGGUGCCUGUGGUGGAAAACGAUUUUCUAGUGGUUGGGGAUGAGCUCGCGGCCUAUCAGCUUGUUGGUGGGGUAAUGGCCUACCAAGGCGGCGACGGGUAGCCGGCCUGGGAGGGUGGACGGCCACAUUGGGACUGAGAUACGGCCCAGACUCCUACGGGAGGCAGCAGUGGGGAAUAUUGCACAAUGGGCGGAAGCCUGAUGCAGCGACGCCGCGUGGGGGAUGACGGCCUUCGGGUUGUAAACUCCUUUCGACCGCGAGGAAGCCACCUGGUUGGAAGGGUGGUGACGGUAGUGGUAGAAGAAGCACCGGCUAACUACGUG
Molecule: ribosomal RNA, 494 nt
Filed under: uncultured bacterium
Lineage: Bacteria
Description: partial 16S ribosomal RNA
Rfam family: Bacterial small subunit ribosomal RNA
Source: RNAcentral